GAUCUAGUAGCUUAUCAAAAGCAUUAGUUUUGUAAGCUAAAGAUGAGGGUCAAACUCCCUCUUAGAUCU
RNAcentral lists this transfer RNA (69 nucleotides) under Nothobranchius kafuensis (Kafue killifish). RNAcentral's name for it is "tRNA-Thr". It matches the Rfam family "tRNA". Rfam says of the family: Transfer RNA (tRNA) molecules are approximately 80 nucleotides in length. Lineage: Eukaryota; Metazoa; Chordata; Actinopteri; Cyprinodontiformes; Nothobranchiidae. The record is from RNAcentral.